RNAcentral lists this unclassified non-coding RNA (1583 nucleotides) under Hevea brasiliensis (rubber tree). The record is from RNAcentral. Lineage: Eukaryota; Viridiplantae; Streptophyta; Magnoliopsida; Malpighiales; Euphorbiaceae.
UAAAGCCAUGGCACCAUAUAUACCUGAAAUAUAUAUAUAUAUAUAUAUAAUCCAAUACUUCUAGAGGCCCAGACCAUGUGCUUGCUGAGUUCUGCUUGAACUUAUUAAACUAUAGCCAUGUGGCGAGGCAUUAUGAACAGGCUGCCUUACAUUGUUACUUUGAUGAGAAUGAGCAAAUCCAGGAUUUCCAUUCAAUGAGAAAUUUCUCCAUUGGUUAGCUUUUUGCACGAGAAUUUGGCAGGAUAUGUUGUGAACCUGAGCUCAGCAACCGGAAAUGGUUGAUUUCCUUCGACUCAUUCUCUAAGGGAGUGGCAGCAUAAGGAGGAUAUUGCGGAAAGAAUGAAGACAUUGUUGCGAGCGGACAGAGAAAGAAUUGAGAAGCAGAGGAAAAAGGUUGUGAUGAUGAUGAUGGUGGCAAUGAAACAGUGCUGUUGCUGUUGAGGGAAGUUUCUGUUUGGGGUAGAAAUCCAUGGAUCGGAAAUUGAUCCCAAUGGAAGUAGGGAUUGAAGGAAAUGGGAUUGUUUGGCAAACCAGGUAAGGAAGAUUGAGUACUACUACUGGUUAGAGGAAAGAACUUUUGAGCUGAGACUUUUCCAGUAGUAGUGUAAUUGCAAAACCAAUUUUGAUUUUCUUGUUCAUUUGUUUUGAUCCACUUUCCUUUGUCAGCAAUACUAACUUCAACUUCAUUACUUCUUCCUGAUCUCAAUGAAGCUUCAGCUGCCUCCCAAUUCUUAUUAGAAUUUGCCACUGUGUGUUGGUGAUCCCUUCCAUCAAGACUACUGCUAUUACCAUUGAUCUUUAUUCCUAGGGAGUGAAAUCCUCCAUCCGAAUUCGAAUCAAAGAAACUAGGAACAAGAGAUGAAUUUGAUAGCUGAGAAAGCAGCAUCUGCUGAUCAUGGAAUUGGCCAAAUCCUUGAGGAAUCUGGAGAGGUGGAAGCUUAUCAAUAUCAUUUUUAGUGGCAUCAAGCAACCAAUCUAUUACCUUGCUAGGCUGGCUCAACCCCAGCCUAUCUUGAAGAUCAUAUAACUGAAUGGCUGUGGGCACAGAAAGCCUGAUUCGCCUGUCCCUCAAUCCCUUCACAGUGCAAACCUUGCUAUGCCUAUCUUUUCUUCCAAAAGAUCGCGACACUCGCACAAUUCUUGGAUUCCUAAAUGCUGACCAAUGUCUUGAAGGAGUAGAUGGUGCUGCCUUGGAUAACUUGUUGUCAUUAGCAGCAUCUCCCUCUCCCUUUGCUUGAAAAACCUUUUCUCUUGAACCUGUAAUCAUCUUAUUUCUUCUCUCAUCAUUGAGUUGCAAAGUCUAGACUUAAUUACAUCAGGCAGAAAAUUGUAGGGUUCUUGCAACUGAAAGACUAUGCUUAAUUAGCAUGGCUGAUCUGAAGGAGGAGGAGCAGCAGCAGCAGCAAGAAAAGGUAAUAAUAACGUCAUGAAAGUCCUACUCAUGUCUUGUUUUUUCAAUUUAAAUGACCCUGAGAAGGUCUAAACUUCACAAUAUCAAAUGUAUCUGCAAAUUAAGAAUAUGAAUUUGAAGAAAUGUUUCAUAAUUUUAGGAAAGAAAGGUAAUUAGAGAUGCCAGAUUUUUU